GUGAAUCAUCAAAUUUUUGAACGCAAAUUGCACUCUCUUCGGAGAGUAUGCCUGUUUGAGGGUCAGUAUUAAUAAAAAUCGGUGUGUUGCUUCUUUGUGAUGCUCCGGAGUUUGGGUCAUCUUAAUAUCAUUUAGGUGUUAUUAGGCUUAUAAUUGACUUUUUUUGCGUUUUUUUAGACGUUCAUAAAUUUUUUUUUUUAUUUGUCUUUUCUUUUUUUAAAAAUCUUAUUCGUUGCAAUU
Molecule: unclassified non-coding RNA, 240 nt
Filed under: Glomeraceae sp.
Lineage: Eukaryota; Fungi; Glomeromycota; Glomeromycetes; Glomerales; Glomeraceae
Description: partial contains 5.8S ribosomal RNA and internal transcribed spacer 2
Rfam family: 5.8S ribosomal RNA (bases 1-65)
Source: RNAcentral